RNAcentral lists this ribosomal RNA (835 nucleotides) under uncultured archaeon. RNAcentral describes it as "bacterial SSU rRNA". It matches the Rfam family "Archaeal small subunit ribosomal RNA", at positions 21 to 859 of the family's 1478-position model. The record is from RNAcentral.
GGUUACUGCUAUCGGUGUUCGCCUAAGCCAUGCGAGUCAUAUGUAGCAAUACAUGGCGUACUGCUCAGUAACACGUGGAUAACCUGCCCUUGGGUCCGGCAUAACCCCGGGAAACUGGGGAUAAUUCCGGAUAACGCAUAUAUGCUGGAAUGCUUUCUGCGUAAAAUGGAUUCGUCUGCCCAAGGAUGGGUCUGCGGCCUAUCAGGUAGUAGUGGGUGUAAUGUACCUACUAGCCUACGACGGGUACGGGUUGUGAGAGCAAGAGCCCGGAGAUGGAUUCUGAGACAUGAAUCCAGGCCCUACGGGGCGCAGCAGGCGCGAAAACUUUACAAUGCGGGAAACCGUGAUAAGGGGACACCGAGUGCCAGCAUCCUAUGCUGGCUGUCCGGGUGUGUAAAAUACACCUGUUAGCAAGGGCCGGGCAAGACCGGUGCCAGCCGCCGCGGUAACACCGGCGGCCCGAGUGGUGAUCGUGAUUAUUGGGUCUAAAGGGUCCGUAGCCGGUUUGGUCAGUCCUCCGGGAAAUCUGACAGCUCAACUGUUAGGCUUUCGGAGGAUACUGCCAGACUUGGAACCGGGAGAGGUAAGAGGUACUACAGGGGUAGGAGUGAAAUCUUGUAAUCCCUGUGGGACCACCUGUGGCGAAGGCGUCUUACCAGAACGGGUUCGACGGUGAGGGACGAAAGCUGGGGGCACGAACCGGAUUAGAUACCCGGGUAGUCCCAGCCGUAAACGAUGCUCGCUAGGUGUCAGGCAUGGCGCGACCGUGUCUGGUGCCGCAGGGAAGCCGUGAAGCGAGCCACCUGGGAAGUACGGCCGCAAGGCUGAAACUUAA